Molecule: long non-coding RNA, 508 nt
Filed under: Rattus norvegicus (Norway rat)
Lineage: Eukaryota; Metazoa; Chordata; Mammalia; Rodentia; Muridae
Description: long non-coding RNA NONRATT017980
Source: RNAcentral
AUUUUUCUGUCACAGAUGGACUUGGGGCCUUAUACAUGAAGACAGUGCUCACAAGUGAACGACUUCUCUGUUCAUAGAAAGUUGGGUCUUUUCCAUCUAUUCCCUAGUCAGCUAAGUAACACUGGCUACAAUAUUUCCAUAGGAGGGACAGGCAAAGGAGUGAUUGUCUUUCUCUCUCGAGUCGAUGUUUGUUUUCUGCUCCCACAGUUCUUACUUUCCCUCUAGGUGUGUGGGAAUGCCCUCAUGAAGCAGUACCAGGUCCAGUUCUGGAAGAUGAUCCUUCUCAUCAAAGAGGACUACUUCCCCAGAAUUGAAGCCAUCACGAGCUCAGGACAGAUGGGUUCCUUCAUACGUCUGAAGCAGUUCUUGGAGAAAUGUCUGCAACGCAGGGAGAUCCCUGUCCCUAAAGGCUUUCUGACGCCCUCCUUCUGGCGCUCUUGAUGUCCUCCAUCAUGUUGUGUGGCAGAAGGGGCAACAAUAAAGCAACUGAGACAGCGGGUUUGGAAGA